GUCGAACGNGCAGCGCGGGGCAACCUGGCGGCGAGUGGCGAACGGGUGAGUAAUAUAUCGGAACGUACCCUGGAGUGGGGGAUAACGUAGCGAAAGUUACGCUAAUACCGCAUACGAUCUAAGGAUGAAAGUGGGGGAUCGCAAGACCUCAUGCUCCUGGAGCGGCCGAUAUCUGAUUAGCUAGUUGGUGGGGUAAAGGCCUACCAAGGCAUCGAUCAGUAGCUGGUCUGAGAGGACGACCAGCCACACUGGAACUGAGACACGGUCCAGACUCCUACGGGAGGCAGCAGUGGGGAAUUUUGGACAAUGGGCGAAAGCCUGAUCCAGCAAUGCCGCGUGAGUGAAGAAGGCCUUCGGGUUGUAAAGCUCUUUUGUCAGGGAAGAAACGGUGAGGGCUAAUAUCUUUUGCUAAUGACGGUACCUGAAGAAUAAGCACCGGCUAACUACGUGCCAGCAGCCGCGGUAAUACGUAGGGUGCAAGCGUUAAUCGGAAUUACUGGGCGUAAAGCGUGCGCAGGCGGUUUUGUAAGUCUGUCGUGAAAUCCCCGGGCUCAACCUGGGAAUUGCGAUGGAGACUGCAAGGCUAGAAUCUGGCAGAGGGGGGUAGAAUUCCACGUGUAGCAGUGAAAUGCGUAGAGAUGUGGAGGAACACCGAUGGCGAAGGCAGCCCCCUGGGUCAAGAUUGACGCUCAUGCACGAAAGCGUGGGGAGCAAACAGGAUUAGAUACCCCUGGUAGUCCACGCCCUAAACGAUGUCUACUAGUUGU
RNAcentral lists this ribosomal RNA (767 nucleotides) under bacterium EJ10-82. RNAcentral's name for it is "bacterial SSU rRNA". It matches the Rfam family "Bacterial small subunit ribosomal RNA", at positions 61 to 823 of the family's 1533-position model. The record is from RNAcentral.